UGUGUUUUUGGGUGAAUUGUUC
Molecule: non-coding RNA, 22 nt
Filed under: Arabidopsis thaliana (thale cress)
Lineage: Eukaryota; Viridiplantae; Streptophyta; Magnoliopsida; Brassicales; Brassicaceae
Source: RNAcentral